UUAAAUACAAUGAAAAGAAGUAGUAAAUUAAUUGAUGCUUUACAGAGAGAGGGAUUAGGUGAGAGCCCUUACGAUAGAUUAAUUGAAGCAGUCUUGGAGUAUCAACUUUGAAAUUAAGUAGGAGUUGACGGUGGUUCCGUUAUAACUUAGGUUUUCCGAAGAUACUGUGAUUUUUACAGUAAUUAGGGUGGUACCGCGAGAUAUAUCCUCGCCCCUAUA
Molecule: non-coding RNA, 219 nt
Filed under: Paraclostridium sordellii
Lineage: Bacteria; Bacillati; Bacillota; Clostridia; Peptostreptococcales; Peptostreptococcaceae
Description: Paeniclostridium sordellii T-box sequence
Rfam family: T-box leader
About the family: Uncharged tRNA acts as the effector for transcription antitermination of genes in the T-box leader family.
Source: RNAcentral